CGUGCUUAACAGGCUUGUAUGAGAUUGAGAACUCGGCAAGAUAGUGGCUGAUCAUUUCAGGCUUGAUUUCAACUGUAUUGAAGGUCUUGCCAUUGUAAACUCCUAUGACACUUCCUAUCAUCUCAGGGACAAUGAUCAUAUUUCGCAGGUGAGUUUUGACAAUCUCAGGCUUCUCACCUGGUGGGGCCUCACGUUUCUGAAUUAAAGAAUCAUAUGAAACAUUCAGGAAACAUGGUUUAUUAUUCAGUAAUGAAAAACAUUAAAAGUUGACACAAUAUCGACUACUAGAAACUUGACUGGCUAUAACGAGAAAAAAAAAAAGUGAUUCUGAAAAGUAUUGCACUCCACAGAGGCAGGUGUAAUCUAACUGUGCAGAAUGCUUAAGCUAAUGAAACUGAGUUGAAAACUUGCCAUUGUAAACUCCUAUGACACUUCCUAUCAUCUCAGGGACAAUGAUCAUAUUUCGCAGGUGAGUUUUGACAAUCUCAGGCUUCUCACCUGGUGGGGCCUCACGUUUCUGAAUUAAAGAAUCAUAUGAAACAUUCAGGAAACAUGGUUUAUUAUUCAGUAAUGAAAAACAUUAAAAGUUGACACAAUAUCGACUACUAGAAACUUGACUGGCUAUAACGAGAAAAAAAAAAAGUGAUUCUGAAAAGUAUUGCACUCCACAGAGGCAGGUGUAAUCUAACUGUGCAGAAUGCUUAAGCUAAUGAAACUGAGUUGAAAACAAUUACAUGAAUACCCAGGAUUCACACUCAGCUUAUAUAAGUUGGCACUUGUAUGGAUCUCAAAAUUAAAAAACAAACCACCCCUAUUGUUCAUCAACUAGCAAUCAUUCCUAAUGUGUUCUUUAUAUUUCUCCAUCACCAAGAUAUUAAAACAGUAAUGUUUUAUAAACCUGACUGUAGAUGUUUUAAGUAUGAAGAUCAUUUUUAAAAAAAUGGAAAUGCCAGGGAUAGAUGUUCCCCAAAUAGGAGUAUCUUCCUUGAAAUGUAUGGCAUGAAAAGCAAGUGAGAUGAAUAUGCUUCAAUCCUU
RNAcentral lists this long non-coding RNA (1035 nucleotides) under Olea europaea (common olive). RNAcentral describes it as "long non-coding RNA (OEUR_LNC001562)". The record is from RNAcentral. Lineage: Eukaryota; Viridiplantae; Streptophyta; Magnoliopsida; Lamiales; Oleaceae.